CAUGUAGGCGGUUGUUUAAGUCUGAUGUGAAAGCCCUGGGCUCAACCCAGGAAGUGCAUUGGAUACUGGGCAACUUGAGUACGGGAGAGGAAAGUGGAAUUUCGAGUGUAGGGGUGAAAUCCGUAGAUAUUCGAAGGAACACCAGUGGCGAAGGCGGCUUUCUGGACCGAUACUGACGCUGAGAUGCGAAAGCGGUGGGGAGCAAACA
This 208-nucleotide ribosomal RNA is filed under the name uncultured bacterium. RNAcentral's name for it is "partial 16S ribosomal RNA". It matches the Rfam family "Bacterial small subunit ribosomal RNA", at positions 568 to 774 of the family's 1533-position model. The record is from RNAcentral.